CGAGCGGUAGAGAGAAGCUUGCUUCUCUUGAGAGCGGCGGACGGGUGAGUAAUGCCUAGGAAUCUGCCUGGUAGUGGGGGAUAACGUUCGGAAACGGACGCUAAUACCGCAUACGUCCUACGGGAGAAAGCAGGGGACCUUCGGGCCUUGCGCUAUCAGAUGAGCCUAGGUCGGAUUAGCUAGUUGGUGAGGUAAUGGCUCACCAAGGCGACGAUCCGUAACUGGUCUGAGAGGAUGAUCAGUCACACUGGAACUGAGACACGGUCCAGACUCCUACGGGAGGCAGCAGUGGGGAAUAUUGGACAAUGGGCGAAAGCCUGAUCCAGCCAUGCCGCGUGUGUGAAGAAGGUCUUCGGAUUGUAAAGCACUUUAAGUUGGGAGGAAGGGCAGUUACCUAAUACGUGAUUGUUUUGACGUUACCGACAGAAUAAGCACCGGCUAACUCUGUGCCAGCAGCCGCGGUAAUACAGAGGGUGCAAGCGUUAAUCGGAAUUACUGGGCGUAAAGCGCGCGUAGGUGGUUAGUUAAGUUGGA
Molecule: ribosomal RNA, 534 nt
Filed under: Pseudomonas veronii
Lineage: Bacteria; Pseudomonadati; Pseudomonadota; Gammaproteobacteria; Pseudomonadales; Pseudomonadaceae
Description: bacterial SSU rRNA
Rfam family: Bacterial small subunit ribosomal RNA
Source: RNAcentral